This 430-nucleotide ribosomal RNA is filed under the name uncultured bacterium. RNAcentral's name for it is "bacterial SSU rRNA". It matches the Rfam family "Bacterial small subunit ribosomal RNA", at positions 354 to 776 of the family's 1533-position model. The record is from RNAcentral.
GUAGGGAAUCUUCCACAAUGGACGAAAGUCUGAUGGAGCAACGCCGCGUGAACGAUGAAGGCUUUCGGGUCGUAAAGUUCUGUUGUAAGGGAAGAACAAGUGCCGCAGGCAAUGGCGGCACCUUGACGGUACCUUGCGAGAAAGCCACGGCUAACUACGUGCCAGCAGCCGCGGUAAUACGUAGGUGGCAAGCGUUGUCCGGAAUUAUUGGGCGUAAAGCGCGCGCAGGCGGCCUCUUAAGUCUGAUGUGAAAGCCCCCGGCUCAACCGGGGAGGGCCAUUGGAAACUGGGAGGCUUGAGUAUAGGAGAGAAGAGUGGAAUUCCACGUGUAGCGGUGAAAUGCGUAGAGAUGUGGAGGAACACCAGUGGCGAAGGCGACUCUUUGGCCUAUAACUGACGCUGAGGCGCGAAAGCGUGGGGAGCAAACAGG